GGUCAAGCGAAUAAGCGCACACGGUGGAUGCCUUGGCGGUCAGAGGCGAUGAAGGACGUGGCAGCCUGCGAAAAGUAUCGGGGAGCUGGCAACAAGCUUUGAUCCGGUAAUGUCCGAAUGGGGAAACCCACCCGCUUGCGGGUAUCCUGCAGUGAAUACAUAGCUGCUGGAAGCGAACCUGGUGAACUGAAAUAUCUAAGUAACCAGAGGAAAAGAAAUCAACCGAGAUUCCGUAAGUAGCGACGAGCGAACGCGGACUAGCCCUUAAGCUGAUUUGGUUCUAGGAAAACGCUCUGGAAAGAGCGGCCAUAGAAGGUGAUAGCCCUGUAUCUGAAAGGGCCAUUUCAGUGAAGACGAGUAGGGCGGGGCACGUGAAACCCUGUCUGAACAUGGGGGGACCAUCCUCCAAGGCUAAAUACUACUGACCGACCGAUAGUGAACCAGUACCGUGAGGGAAAGGCGAAAAGAACCCCGGAGAGGGGAGUGAAAUAGAACCUGAAACCGUGUGCGUACAAGCAGUAGGAGCUCCGCAAGGAGUGACUGCGUACCUUUUGUAUAAUGGGUCAGCGACUUACUGUUCGUGGCAAGCUUAACCGUAUAGGGGAGGCGAAGGGAAACCGAGUCUGAUAAGGGCGCAUAGUCGCGGGCAGUAGACCCGAAACCGGGUGAUCUAGUCAUGCCCAGGGUGAAGGUGCGGUAACACGCACUGGAGGCCCGAACCCACUCCCGUUGCAAAGGUAGGGGAUGAGGUGUGAUUAGGAGUGAAAAGCUAAUCGAACCCGGAGAUAGCUGGUUCUCCUCGAAAGCUAUUUAGGUAGCGCCUCAUAUGUAUCCUCUCGGGGGUAGAGCACUGUUAUGGCUAGGGGGUCAUCGCGACUUACCAAACCAUUGCAAACUCCGAAUACCGAGACGGACUGUAUGGGAGACACACGGCGGGUGCUAACGUCCGUCGUGAAAAGGGAAACAACCCAGACCCACAGCUAAGGUCCCAAAUUUUGUGCUAAGUGGAAAACCAUGUGGAAAGGCACAGACAGCCAGGAGGUUGGCUUAGAAGCAGCCACCCUUUAAAGAAAGCGUAAUAGCUCACUGGUCGAGUCGGUCUGCGGGGAAGAUUUAACGGGGCUAAGCACAGAACCGAAGCUUGGGGUGCAUAACUUUGUUAUGCGCGGUAGAGGAGCGUUCCGUAAGCCGUUGAAGGUGGAUUGAGAAGUCUGCUGGAGGUAUCGGAAGUGCGAAUGCUGACAUGAGUAACGAUAAUGCGGGUGAAAAACCCGCACGCCGAAAGCCCAAGGUUUCCUUGCGCAACGUUAAUCGGCGCAGGGUGAGUCGGCCCCUAAGGCGAGGACGAAAGUCGUAGUCGAUGGGAAGCAGGUUAAUAUUCCUGCACCUCGCGUAAGUGCGAUGGAGGGACGGAGAAGGUUAGGUGUACCAGGCGUUGGUUGUCCUGGGGAAAGGCGGUAGGUUUGGAUCUUUGGCAAAUCCGGGAUCCUUUAAGACCGAGCACCGAGACGAGCCUUUAAGGCGAAGUCACUGAUACCACGCUUCCAGGAAAAGCUCCUAAGCUUCAGCUUACGCAGACCGUACCGUAAACCGACACAGGUGGGUAGGAUGAGAAUUCUCAGGCGCUUGAGAGAACUCGGGUGAAGGAACUAGGCAACAUGGCACCGUAACUUCGGGAGAAGGUGCACCCUUUUUGGUGGCUCAUGCGAGCUAUAGCUGAAGAGGGUCGCAGUAACCAGGCCGCUGCGACUGUUUAUCAAAAACACAGCACUCUGCAAACACGAAAGUGGACGUAUAGGGUGUGACGCCUGCCCGGUGCUGGAAGGUUAAUUGAUGGGGUCAGCCGCAAGGCGAAGCUCUUGAUCGAAGCCCCAGUAAACGGCGGCCGUAACUAUAACGGUCCUAAGGUAGCGAAAUUCCUUGUCGGGUAAGUUCCGACCUGCACGAAUGGCGUAACGACAGCGGCGCUGUCUCCACCCGAGACUCAGUGAAAUUGAAAUCGCUGUGAAGAUGCAGCGUUCCCGUGGCAAGACGGAAAGACCCCGUGAACCUUUACUAUAGCUUUACACUGAACGUUGAGUUCGUCUGUGUAGGAUAGGUGGGAGGCUAUGAAACCAUGGCGCUAGCUGUGGUGGAGCCAUCCUUGAAAUACCACCCUGUCGUGCUUGACGUUCUAACCUGGGCCCAUUAUCUGGGUCGGGGACCGUGUAUGGUGGGUAGUUUGACUGGGGCGGUCUCCUCCUAAAGAGUAACGGAGGAGCUCGAAGGUACGCUCAGCGCGGUCGGACAUCGCGCACUGUGUGCAAAGGCAUAAGCGUGCUUGACUGCAAGAUCGACGGAUCAAGCAGGUAGGAAACUAGGACUUAGUGAUCCGGUGGUUCUGUAUGGAAGGGCCAUCGCUCAACGGAUAAAAGGUACUCCGGGGAUAACAGGCUGAUACCGCCCAAGAGUUCAUAUCGACGGCGGUGUUUGGCACCUCGAUGUCGGCUCAUCACAUCCUGGGGCUGUAGUCGGUCCCAAGGGUAUGGCUGUUCGCCAUUUAAAGUGGUACGCGAGCUGGGUUCAGAACGUCGUGAGACAGUUCGGUCCCUAUCUGCCAUGGGCGUUGGAGAUUUGAGAGGGGCUGCUCCUAGUACGAGAGGACCGGAGUGGACGAACCUCUGGUGUUCCGGUUGUCACGCCAGUGGCAUUGCCGGGUAGCUAUGUUCGGAAGCGAUAACCGCUGAAAGCAUCUAAGCGGGAAGCGCGCCUCAAGAUGAGAUCUCCCGGGGCACAAGCCCCCUGAAGGAACCAUGUAGACUACGUGGUUGAUAGGUCAGGUGUGUAAGUACAGCAAUGUAUUGAGCUAACUGAUACUAAUGAUCCGUGCGGCUUGACCAU
Molecule: ribosomal RNA, 2880 nt
Filed under: Stenotrophomonas maltophilia
Lineage: Bacteria; Pseudomonadati; Pseudomonadota; Gammaproteobacteria; Lysobacterales; Lysobacteraceae
Also listed under: 1 other name
Description: 23S ribosomal RNA
Rfam family: Bacterial large subunit ribosomal RNA
Source: RNAcentral